GGAGUAUGGGCCGUGUCUCAGUCCCAUUGCGGCCGUUCACCCUCUCAGGCCGGCUACUGAUCGUCGCCUUGGUGGGCCGUUACCUCACCAACUAGCUAAUCAGACGCGAGUCCAUCUUAGACCACCGGAGUUUUUCACACUGUGCCAUGCGGCACUGUGCGCUUAUGCGGUAUUAGCACCUAUUUCUAAGUGUUAUCCCCCAGUCUAAGGCAGGUUACUCACGCGUUACUCACCCGUGCGCCGGUCGCCAUCUAUCAAAGCAAGCUUCGAUAAUGCUGCCCCUCGACUUGCAUGUGUUAAGCCUGUAGCUAGCGUUCAUC
This 320-nucleotide ribosomal RNA is filed under the name uncultured Lachnospiraceae bacterium. RNAcentral describes it as "partial 16S ribosomal RNA". Lineage: Bacteria; Bacillati; Bacillota; Clostridia; Lachnospirales; Lachnospiraceae. The record is from RNAcentral.